RNAcentral lists this ribosomal RNA (348 nucleotides) under uncultured bacterium. Its description in RNAcentral is "bacterial SSU rRNA". It matches the Rfam family "Bacterial small subunit ribosomal RNA", at positions 8 to 350 of the family's 1533-position model. The record is from RNAcentral.
AGAGUUUGAUCCUGGCUCAGGAUGAACGCUAGCUACAGGCUUAACACAUGCAAGUCGAGGGGCAGCAUGUUGGUUGCUUGCAACCAAUGAUGGCGACCGGCGCACGGGUGAGUAACGCGUAUCCAACCUACCCUUGUCCAUCGGAUAACCCGUCGAAAGGCGGCCUAACACGAUAUGCGGUUCUCAGCAGGCAUCUAACGAGAACGAAAUGUGAAGGAGAAGGAUAGGGAUGCGUCUGAUUAGCUUGUUGGCGGGGUAACGGCCACCAAGGCGACGAUCAGUAGGGGUUCUGAGAGGAAGGUCCCCCANAUUGGAACUGAGACACGGUCCAAACUCCUACGGGAGGCA